Long non-coding RNA from Eurytemora carolleeae, 283 nucleotides. RefSeq lists it as uncharacterized. The transcript has 2 exons. NCBI's taxonomy places the organism in Eukaryota, Metazoa, Arthropoda, Copepoda, Calanoida, Temoridae. The record is from RefSeq and is a predicted model, not a curated record.
CCGAAGGUCUGGGUUAAAUUGUAAGAUAAUUGUUAUGUAUUUUUAGGAUGAACAGAAGUAUCACGCAUCAUCUCGCCGAUAAGCAAAAUAUUUUUCAAAGGAUUGUUCGAUAUUUUCAAUCAUGUUCUUUGUUCAUCCACUGUUCAGCCUGAAUCUUCUAAGUUCAGCCAGAUGUUCAAGUGUUAACAAAAUAGUUCGAUUUGCAGCUCCAGUUGUUCAAAUGUUCAUAUAAUUCAGAGAAUGUUCGUUACUUUAAACUCAAUCAAAUGAAUGAAUCACAUAG